AGAGUUUGAUCCUGGCUCAGGACGAACGCUGGCGGCGUGCUUAACACAUGCAAGUCGAACGGUGACGCACCUUCGGGUGCUGAUCAGUGGCGAACGGGUGAGUAACACGUGGGCAACCUGCCCCUGACUCUGGGAUAACUCCUCGAAAGAGGUGCUAAUACCGGAUACCAUCCCCCUCGGCAUCGUGGGGGGUCGAAAGUUCUUCGGUCAGGGAUGGGCCCGCGGCCUAUCAGCUUGUUGGUGGGGUAACGGCCCACCAAGGCGACGACGGGUAGCCGGCCUGAGAGGGCGACCGGCCACACUGGGACUGAGACACGGCCCAGACUCCUACGGGAGGCAGCAGUGGGGAAUAUUGCGCAAUGGGCGAAAGCCUGACGCAGCAACGCCGCGUGAGGGAUGACGGCCUUCGGGUUGUAAACCUCUUUCAGCAGGGACGAAGCGAAAGUGACUGUACCUGCAGAAGAAGCGCCGGCUAACUACGUGCCAGCAGCCGCGGUAAUACGUAGGGCGCAAGCGUUGUCCGGAUUUAUUGGGCGUAAAGAGCUCGUAGGCGGUCUGUCGCGUCGGAUGUGAAAACCCGGAGCUCAACUCCGGGCCUGCAUUCGAUACGGGCAGACUUGAGUACUGCAGGGGAGACUGGAAUUCCUGGUGUAGCGGUGGAAUGCGCAGAUAUCAGGAGGAACACCGGUGGCGAAGUCGG
Molecule: ribosomal RNA, 700 nt
Filed under: uncultured bacterium
Lineage: Bacteria
Description: bacterial SSU rRNA
Rfam family: Bacterial small subunit ribosomal RNA
Source: RNAcentral